This 65-nucleotide transfer RNA is filed under the name Lasius niger. RNAcentral describes it as "tRNA-Ala". Lineage: Eukaryota; Metazoa; Arthropoda; Insecta; Hymenoptera; Formicidae. The record is from RNAcentral.
AGGAUUUUAGUUAAAUUAUAACAUUUAAAUUGCAUUUAAAAAUUAUAUUUUUUAUAUAAAUCUUA